Long non-coding RNA from Oreochromis niloticus (Nile tilapia), 862 nucleotides. RefSeq lists it as uncharacterized. NCBI's taxonomy places the organism in Eukaryota, Metazoa, Chordata, Actinopteri, Cichliformes, Cichlidae. The record is from RefSeq and is a predicted model, not a curated record. The transcript has 3 exons.
UGCAAACUCCACACAGAAAGACCCCGGCCUGAUGGUGGAAUUGAACACAGGACCUUCUUGCUGUGUGGCAACAGUGCGAACCACCGCCCUGCCCAUUCAGGUUAAACGUGUCGAUAUCAGUAAAUAUCUGUAUCGGUCAUAUUGGCCAUUGGUAUUUAUUUGGUAUUGGAUCGAUUCAGACACUGGAUGAACUCUGGGCCUGCACCAAGGCCAAGAAGCAGAUCACUCUCAGGAUGCCGCUAGGAGCCGCUGCUAGCACCUUGGUGUCUGAUACGACAGGACACCUUCAGCGCUCUUGUGGAGUUUGUGCCUCACCGGGUCGAGGCGUUUAGGCAGGACGUGUUGGACCCACACUGUGUGAGGCAGGGAGUUUAAAAGCUCUGUUCUUAAUUGGAGUAUUGGAUGCUAACAUGCUCGCCUGCAUAUUUAUUAUUAAUAUAUGUGUUCAAAACAAAUCUGUGAACAUUUGAAAUCUCAGCUCAUGAAAAUUCAUGAGCAUUUUAAUAUAUCUGGUUUAAUCCUUUUUUGUAUGGAAUUUGUUGCUUAUUAAUCUAUUUAAAAGGAUUUCUCGUGACAUGUUAUUUGGUGCAACCAUUACCCACGUGGAGUGACCAGCUAUAGCAAUAACUGUAUUCAAAAUUGAAAAAGAAAAAUACUAUUUUAACACAUUUUUAAGUCGGUUUUAUGUAAUAUGCAUGAACUAAUUUAUCUGUAUAAAAAAAAUCACUUAAUUUGAAAUCUUAAAAUGUAUGAAUGUAUUAUAUGAAUAGAUAUUUAUUGUUAGUGUUUGAACAACACUUAUUUAUCGUUGUUGUUUUAAUACUGUAUCAGCUGUAACUUCAUGGUGUCUUUGUGUAUUAAA